Molecule: ribosomal RNA, 447 nt
Filed under: uncultured bacterium
Lineage: Bacteria
Description: partial 16S ribosomal RNA
Rfam family: Bacterial small subunit ribosomal RNA
Source: RNAcentral
AACGAACGCUGGCGGCAGGCUUAACACAUGCAAGUCGAACGCCCCGCAAGGGGAGUGGCAGACGGGUGAGUAACGCGUGGGAAUCUACCCAAUUCUACGGAAUAACCCAGGGAAACUUGGACUAAUACCGUAUACGCCCUACGGGGGAAAGAUUUAUCGGAAUUGGAUGAGCCCGCGUAAGAUUAGCUAGUUGGUGGGGUAAUGGCCUACCAAGGCGACGAUCUUUAGCUGAUCUGAGAGGAUGAUCAGCCACACUGGGACUGAGACACGGCCCAGACUCCUACGGGAGGCAGCAGUGGGGAAUAUUGGACAAUGGGCGCAAGCCUGAUCCAGCCAUGCCGCGUGAGUGAUGAAGGCCUUAGGGUUGUAAAGCUCUUUCAGUGGGGAAGAUAAUGACGGUACCCACAGAAGAAGCCCCGGCUAACUUCGUGCCAGCAGCCGCCGCGG